Molecule: ribosomal RNA, 253 nt
Filed under: uncultured bacterium
Lineage: Bacteria
Description: partial 16S ribosomal RNA
Rfam family: Bacterial small subunit ribosomal RNA
Source: RNAcentral
UACGUAGGGCGCGAGCGUUGUCCGGAAUUAUUGGGCGUAAAGAGCUCGUAGGCGGCUUGUCACGUCGGGUGUGAAAGCCCACAGCUUAACUGUGGGUCUGCAUUCGAUACGGGCAGACUAGAGGCAGGUAGGGGAGAACGGAAUUCCCGGUGUAGCGGUGAAAUGCGCAGAUAUCGGGAGGAACACCGGUGGCGAAGGCGGUUCUCUGGGCCUGUACUGACGCUGAGGAGCGAAAGCGUGGGGAGCGAACAGG